This 1327-nucleotide long non-coding RNA is filed under the name Macaca fascicularis (crab-eating macaque). RNAcentral describes it as "lncRNA (ENSMFAG00000048733.1)". The record is from RNAcentral. Lineage: Eukaryota; Metazoa; Chordata; Mammalia; Primates; Cercopithecidae.
CAGAGUGAGACUCUGUCUCAAAAAAAUAUAUAUCUGUGAGGUAACAAUCUAAACAUGUUUGAGCUAGUGCAUCAGUAAGUUAACUCCUUACAUCUGUUAACUCAGCAAGCAGUAACAAGUGAUUUAAAAAAAAAAAAAAAAAGGAGUGGGAAAUGAGCCACAGCUUUGCCAUCAAAGACUUCAGCGUCUCUUAGGGGAAACAGAUGUAAGCAAAUAAUGACACGAUUUAGGGCAGAGAUAGGAGGAUCAACUUGCCUCUGCGUGGGGGAAAUGUUAGGGAAGUUCGGGUUAUCCAGGCCUGCAAUGUGUGUAAAGGGAUUUCAGACAUAGAAACAACAGAGGGCCAAGACAUAAAUAAAAUUUUUAGUUUAAGGAAUCCGAAGUUUAGUGUGACUACUUGGGGUGACUUCGGAGAGGAUGGGAUCAUGAUGUCAGAAGCUGAAAUUGGUAGCAGUUGAAGGAUUCUAAGCCAGGAAGGAAUCAUUUUCUAUUUUAGGAUGGAUUUGAGAAAGUUAAGACCAAGAGGCACUUAACAGACCCCUGAAAUAGAAAAGAUAUAUGAGGGCAUUGGUUAUAAGGAUAGUGAAGAGACAAGUUCAGAAAUAUGUAGGACAUUAAGUCUGCAAGAUGAAGUUGGGAUGAAAUAAAAAAGAAUCACAAAAAUCUCGUUUGGGGCUUGCUGAGGUUGUGCCAACAAAUAAGCUGGUAGCUAGAUUGUUAACAUGAGUAACUGCUUGCAACAACUUGAUUAUUCGAAGUUACAGUGCAUUGAUAACUAUGGUACAGUGUGAUCUGAUGCUGCAAGAUUACCAAUGUUACCAAAUGACAAAGACAUCAGGGGAGAAUUUAAACUUUCAAUGAUUGACCAAGGAGUUGUACAUUUCAUUUUGUAACAAGGGCAUAAGAUAAAAACCCCCAAAAGAUAUUAACAAGAAUUUAUAUUCCAAGUUCGGGUCAUUGUCUGAAAUUAUAGUUCUGGUGGUUGGCAGCAUAGUAACCAUUACAGGAGAUCGGAAAUGAUGACACGAGCUCAGACACAGUGGCUCACACCUGUAAUCCCAGUGGUUUGGGAGGCCAAGGCCAGAGGAUUGCUUGAGCCCAGGAGUUCGAGACCAGCCUGAGCAACAUGGUGAGACCCCAUCUCUACAAAAAAUAAAAAAUAGCCAGGUAUGGUAGGUGUGUACCUGUAGCCCCAGCUACUUAGGAGGCUGAAGCAAGAGAAUGGCUAGAGCCUGGGAGAUUGAGGCUGCAGUGACCCAUGACCACAGCACUGUUCUCCAGCCUAGGCAGCAGAGCAAGACCCUGUCUCAAAAAAAAAAAAAAAAAA